RNAcentral lists this small RNA (111 nucleotides) under Salmonella enterica. Its description in RNAcentral is "partial RtT sRNA". It matches the Rfam family "RtT RNA", at positions 1 to 110 of the family's 130-position model. Rfam says of the family: This family represents a bacterial cis-regulatory element known as RtT RNA. The exact function of RtT is unknown although it is thought that it may be involved in changing the cellular response in relation to amino acid starvation. Lineage: Bacteria; Pseudomonadati; Pseudomonadota; Gammaproteobacteria; Enterobacterales; Enterobacteriaceae. RNAcentral also lists the same sequence under 4 other names. The record is from RNAcentral.
AUAUCUCUCUGUACGGGAAGGAUGAGAAGCUUCGACCAAGGUUCGAUUCGAGCGCAGCGAGAAAGCGUUGCCGCAGGCAACGACCCGAAGGGCGAAGCGCGCAGCGCUGAG